UCUAAUGAUCAUACCACGUUGAAUACAUCAGUUUUCGUCCAGUCACUGAAGUUGAGGACGUCGGAUGUAAUUAUUAUUUGGAUGGGUGACUGCUUGGAAACACUGCGGUCGUUGGUU
Molecule: non-coding RNA, 117 nt
Organism: Cinara cedri
Lineage: Eukaryota; Metazoa; Arthropoda; Insecta; Hemiptera; Aphididae
Source: the annotation of a GenBank genome assembly